GAACGCAUCUUGCGCUCCUUGGUAUUCCGAGGAGCAUGCCUGUUUGAGUGUCAUUUGACUUAUCAACCACUUCAAAUUUAUUGAUGUUGGCUUGGAUUUUGGGGGUGUUUUGCAGGCUUUUUUUUCCGUCUCAGGAAAAAAAGGGUCAGCUCCUCUGAAAUGUAUUAGUGGCAUCUGAGCUGCUACUAUAGGUGUGAUAACUAUCUAUGCCUUUGGUACGCUGCAUGAACAGAUUGGGCUGCUUUACAAACAAAAUUGACAAACUUGACCUCAAAUCAGGUAGGACUACCCGCUGAACUUAAG
This 303-nucleotide unclassified non-coding RNA is filed under the name Inocybe rufula. RNAcentral describes it as "sequence contains 5.8S rRNA gene". The stretch from base 1 to 53 matches the Rfam family "5.8S ribosomal RNA", at positions 102 to 154 of the family's 154-position model. Lineage: Eukaryota; Fungi; Basidiomycota; Agaricomycetes; Agaricales; Inocybaceae. The record is from RNAcentral.